UUCACCUACGGGAGGCAGCAGUAGGGAAUUUUCGUCAAUGGGCGCAAGCCUGAACGAGCAAUGCCGCGUGAACGAGGAAGGUCUUCGGAUCGUAAAGUUCUGUUGACGGGGAAAAAGAGCGGAGAGAGGAAAUGGUCUCCGAUUGAUAUUACCCUUCGAGGAAGUCACGGCUAACUACGUGCCAGUAGCCGCGGUAAUACGUAGGAUGCGAGCGUUAUCCGGAUUUAUUGGGUUUAAAGGGUGCGCAGGCGGACCAUCAAGUCAGCGGUAAAAUCGUGGGGCCCAACCCCAUCCCGCCGUUGAAA
This 305-nucleotide ribosomal RNA is filed under the name uncultured bacterium. Its description in RNAcentral is "bacterial SSU rRNA". It matches the Rfam family "Bacterial small subunit ribosomal RNA", at positions 334 to 632 of the family's 1533-position model. The record is from RNAcentral.